Molecule: ribosomal RNA, 433 nt
Filed under: uncultured bacterium
Lineage: Bacteria
Description: partial 16S ribosomal RNA
Rfam family: Bacterial small subunit ribosomal RNA
Source: RNAcentral
AGCGAACGCUGGCGGCAGGCCUAACACAUGCAAGUCGAACGAACCUUUCGGGGUUAGUGGCGGACGGGUGAGUAACACGUGGGAACGUGCCUUUAGGUUCGGAAUAACUCAGGGAAACUUGUGCUAAUACCGAAUGUGCCCUUCGGGGGAAAGAUUCAUCGCCUUUAGAGCGGCCCGCGUCUGAUUAGCUAGUUGGUUGAGGUAAUGGCUCACCAAGGCGACGAUCAGUAGCUGGUCUGAGAGGAUGAUCAGCCACAUUGGGACUGAGACACGGCCCAAACUCCUACGGGAGGCAGCAGUGGGGAAUCUUGCGCAAUGGGCGAAAGCCUGACGCAGCCAUGCCGCGUGAAUGAUGAAGGUCUUAGGAUUGUAAAAUUCUUUCACCGGGGACGAUAAUGACGGUACCCGGAGAAGAAGCCCCGGCUAACUUCGU